This 497-nucleotide ribosomal RNA is filed under the name uncultured bacterium. RNAcentral describes it as "partial 16S ribosomal RNA". It matches the Rfam family "Bacterial small subunit ribosomal RNA", at positions 28 to 507 of the family's 1533-position model. The record is from RNAcentral.
GAUGUACGCUGGCGGCGUGCCUAAUACAUGCAAGUCGAGCGAACAGACGAGGAGCUUGCUCCUCUGACGUUAGCGGCGGACGGGUGAGUAACACGUGGAUAACCUACCUAUAAGACUGGGAUAACUUCGGGAAACCGGAGCUAAUACCGGAUAAUAUAUUGAACCGCAUGGUUCAAUAGUGAAAGACGGUUUUGCUGUCACUUAUAGAUGGAUCCGCGCCGCAUUAGCUAGUUGGUAAGGUAACGGCUUACCAAGGCAACGAUGCGUAGCCGACCUGAGAGGGUGAUCGGCCACACUGGAACUGAGACACGGUCCAGACUCCUACGGGAGGUAGCAGUAGGGAAUCUUCCGCAAUGGGCGAAAGCCUGACGGAGCAACGCCGCGUGAGUGAUGAAGGUCUUCGGAUCGUAAAACUCUGUUAUUAGGGAAGAACAAAUGUGUAAGUAACUAUGCACGUCUUGACGGUACCUAAUCAGAAAGCCACGGCUAACUACGUG